GACGAACGCUGGCGGCGUGCUUAACACAUGCAAGUCGAACGGAAAGGCCCUGCUUUUGUGUGGUGCUCGCGUGGCGAACGGGUGAGUAACCCGUGAGUCACCUUCCCUUGACUUUGGGAUAACUUCAGGAAACUGGUGCUAAUACCUGCUAGGAGCUCCUGCUGCAUGGUGGGGGUUGGAAAGUUUCGGCGGUUGGGGAUGGACUGGCGGCUUAUCAGCUUGUUGGUGGGGUAGUGGCUUACCAAGGCUUUGACGGGUAGCCGGCCUGAGAGGGGGACCGGCCACAUUGGGACUGAGAGACGGCCCAGACUCCUACGGGAGGCAGCAGGGGGGAAUAUUGCACAAUGGGCGGAAGCCUGAGGCAGAAACGCCGCGUGCGGGAUGAAGGCCUUCGGGUUGGAAACCGCUUUCGCCUGUGACGAAGCGGGAGUGACGGUAAUGGGUAAAGAAGCACCGGCUAACUACGUG
RNAcentral lists this ribosomal RNA (468 nucleotides) under uncultured bacterium. Its description in RNAcentral is "partial 16S ribosomal RNA". It matches the Rfam family "Bacterial small subunit ribosomal RNA", at positions 28 to 507 of the family's 1533-position model. The record is from RNAcentral.